AAGUAAGGUGGCAGAAAAGUGCUUCAGAUUUAAGCUCUGACUAUGGAGUUUUACUUCCCUUCCU
RNAcentral lists this transfer RNA (64 nucleotides) under Lasmigona compressa (creek heelsplitter). RNAcentral describes it as "tRNA-Leu". The record is from RNAcentral. Lineage: Eukaryota; Metazoa; Mollusca; Bivalvia; Unionida; Unionidae.